UACGGAGGGUGCAAGCGUUAUCCGGAUUCACUGGGUUUAAAGGGUGCGUAGGUGGGCAGAUAAGUCAGUGGUGAAAUCCCUGAGCUUAACUCAGGAACUGCCAUUGAUACUAUUUGUCUUGAAUACCGUGGAGGUGAGCGGAAUAUGUCAUGUAGCGGUGAAAUGCUUAGAUAUGACAUAGAACACCAAUUGCGAAGGCAGCUCACUACACGAAUAUUGACACUGAGGCACGAAAGCGUGGGGAUCAAACAGG
RNAcentral lists this ribosomal RNA (253 nucleotides) under uncultured bacterium. RNAcentral's name for it is "partial 16S ribosomal RNA". It matches the Rfam family "Bacterial small subunit ribosomal RNA", at positions 524 to 776 of the family's 1533-position model. The record is from RNAcentral.